Long non-coding RNA from Alexandromys fortis (reed vole), 632 nucleotides. RefSeq lists it as uncharacterized. NCBI's taxonomy places the organism in Eukaryota, Metazoa, Chordata, Mammalia, Rodentia, Cricetidae. The transcript is spliced from 3 exons. The record is from RefSeq and is a predicted model, not a curated record.
AGAGUCCCCCUCCCCUCCACAGAGGAACACAGAGUCCUCAUGUCACCUCCACAGGGCAGCACAGAGUACUUCUUGAGCAGCGGUGACAAGAUUCGAUUCUUCUUUGAGAAAGGAGUUUUUGACAAGAAAGGAAAUUUCUUGGUCCCUCCAGAGAAAUCUAUCAACAAAAUUGGCCAUGCUCUGCAUGCCCAUGACCCUGUCUUCAGAGGUGUGACACACUCUCCCAAGUUGCAGGUGAGUGGGGGCUGGAGGUGAGGAUUGGAGAAUGUGAAGGAGAAAUGUGUGUGAACAGGCCGGCAGUGUGCGUGUAUGUGUAAACAGGCCAGCAGUGUACGUGUGUGAACAGGCUAUGUGUGUGAAGAGGCCAGCAAUGUGCUUGUGUGUAUGUGUGUAAACAGGCUGGCAGUGUGCAUGUAUGAACAGGCUGUGUGUGUGUGUGUGUGAACAGGUCAUGUGUGUGCAUGUGUAAAUAGGCUGUGUGUGUGAACAGGCUAGCAGUGUAUAUGUGUAAACAGGCUAGCAGUGUGUGUAUGUGUGCCCUUGUGUGAACAGGCCAGCAGUGUAUGUGUAUGAACAGAUCAGCAGUGUUUAUGGGUGAACAGGCCCUGACAGUGUGUGUGAAUAGGCCGUGU